UCUCUAUAUAUACGUGGGUCGUCCUCUGAAUCUCCUACUUUGGCUACGCAUUUCUUGUUUUCGUUUUCUUUGUUCGCUUUGCUACCAUGGCUUAUGCUAGGUUGCGAGAGGUAUCUCCAAUAAGCAAAAAUUGGUGCAUCCGUGCUCGUGUAGCGCGGAUGUGGGAGCACUGUGGUGGUCGUGACGGGUUGCCUCCUUUGCAUGUGGAUUUGGUUCUUGUCGACGAUGAGGGUGAUGUCAUGUACCCGGAGGGUGCUGGACGCGAUGCUGACGUCAUCAAACGUGCUGUGAAAGAAGGCGGCGUCUGCACGUUCACUAAAUUUCUUGUAGUCAACAUGAAGCCUUCUUACAGUCCUUUUUGUGCGAAAUAUAUGAUCAAAUUGACUCCUUGGACCAAGAUGGUUUCGGUUUCUAUGUCUGUUGAUUCAUUUCCAUGAUUUGUUUUUCACAUCUCUCCGUCGUCAGACCUUUCAGGUCGAGUUGGGAGCCAGAUAUACUUUACAGAUGUUCUAGCUAUGGUGGUCGCCGUAUCUACUGUUACCUACGUGCGUGUGGCUGCAAGUUCGGUUGACACUGCAAGAAGGGUUGUUGUCCUCAGAGAUUUGAGUGGUUUUGAGGUUAAGCUUGUCUUGUUGGGAAGUCGUGCCACUGAGUUCGAUGCUGAAGCGGUCCACAAGCUUGGUCAAGAGCACGCUGUUGUUGGAAUAUUUGUUGGAACUUUGGUCAAAUCUUAUCGAGGUCAGUGAGUGUAGAAUUUGCUGCAUAACGUCAAUUUGUUUCCUGUUUAAGUACAAAUUUUCCGGCUGCUUCGUCUACUUCGUAGGUGAAGAGACAUUGACUGGUGGAUCAGCCUGUAAGUGGUACCUUAACGAGGAUAUAGCUGAAAUAGACGAAUUUUUUGAAAGGUUAGGUGAUGACUUCAGCAAAAUAGAGUGGGUUGACGACUUUGAGGAGAGUGACCAGCGUCUGCAAAAGAUUGAUCGUGCGGUGCCCAAAACAGUUUCUGAGCUUCGUGGUUUGGAUCCUUGGGAGAGUGAGUUAUUUUUGGGUGCAGGAUACGAAUUUUAUGUGCACUGUUACCAUAGUUAGGAUGAGUACUGGUCAACCUUGGUGGUUCCUAUCAUGCUCCAGGUGCCACAAGGCUGCUACUACCUGUGGAUCUGAAUACAAAUGUGCUGGUGGAUGCGUUAACACGACUGCUACUCCUAAGUACCGCCUUUGCUUGGUUGGAGCUGAUAGUUCUGCAGCUGCUGAAUUUGUACUUUUUGGAAGAGUAGCUCAACAAGUUAGUGGAAAACCUAUUGUACUUCUCAUGAGAAGCGAUGGAAUUCCACGUGAGAUUGCUGCGAUUGUGUCGCAGAAAUUCACGUUUGUUGUGUCCAUUAGUCAAAAGAGUUUGAUGCAGCGGGUCGUCUCUUUUCAAGUUAAUGUAUUGAUUCUUUUUUGGGGAGACAAGCUUCCAUACCUGACAUUGGAGGGUACGAUGACGCCGAAGGAGGGCUAUAAUCACCUUCUGUUAAUAUAAUACCAAAUAAAGAGGGGUCCACAUGUGCUGAAUCAGCUUCGUCUUCUAGACGUACUUCUUCGCGCCGUAUGCCUCUACGUGACGGCAACAAAGGUGGGCAGCAUGCGUGCUCUUUCACUUCUACUAUGGUUAGCUCAGGUAUAAGUGACCAAGCUGGGCAUACAUUAACAGACGGUACGAAAAGUUUAGGUGCUAGUGAUUCGCCACAAGACACCGAUUCUCUUCGUGGAGUUGGAGACAGUGAUCGUACUACCGUUGUUACAUUGGAUAAUGAUUUUCCGAUAAGUGGGAAUCCGAGCGAGAAGAAAGAAGAGGACCAGAAUGCUAAUGCUACAGAUGGGGACGGGCGCAAAAUGAAAAGCACAAGCAAGAAAAGACGAGUUGGUGCUCAAUCAGAUGCUUCUGAAACUAUGGCUGGGGCGAAAAAAAGGGAAUUUCUCCGUGAUGAAUGGGUUGAAAUAGGAAGAUGCAACAAUAUUUAAAGUACCCUAUAUGUAGUAAUUACGGAUCGGACGUGUGCCUUUAAAUUGUAUAUUUGGUACCAAGUACAGGCUGCUUGUGUGUGUUUCAUGUUGCUGUUGUAAUAUAUACUUUAAUGUUUGUUUGAUGCAGAAGUGGUAAUGUGUCUGAAUAUAUUUGAUUGUAUUUA
Molecule: RNA transcript, 2174 nt
Organism: Panicum hallii
Lineage: Eukaryota; Viridiplantae; Streptophyta; Magnoliopsida; Poales; Poaceae
Exons: 11
Source: RefSeq, a predicted model, not a curated record